CCUACGGGCGGCUGCAGUCGAGAAUAUUCCGCAAUGGACGCAAGUCUGACGGAGCGACGCCGCGUGUGGGAUGAAGGCCUUAGGGUUGUAAACCACUGUCACACUUUAAGAAAUCAUCUAGGGUAACUCCUAGGUGUUGACAAAGGAGUGGAAGGAAGUCACGGCUAACUACGUGCCAGCAGCCGCGGUAAUACGUAGGUGGCAAACGUUGUUCGGAAUUACUGGGCAUAAAGAGUUUGUAGGCGGCUUAAUAAGUCAGGUGUGAAAUCCCGGGGCUCAACUUCGGAACGGCAUUUGAUACUGUUAGGCUAGAAUAAUGGAGAGGUGAGUAGAAUUCAUGGUGUAGCGGUGAAAUGCGUUGAUAUCAUGGAGAAUACCAAUGGCGAAGGCAGCUCACUGGCCAAUUAUUGACGCUGAGAAACGAAAGCUAGGGUAGCGAACGGGAUUAGAUACCCCUGUAGUC
Molecule: ribosomal RNA, 463 nt
Filed under: uncultured bacterium
Lineage: Bacteria
Description: bacterial SSU rRNA
Rfam family: Bacterial small subunit ribosomal RNA
Source: RNAcentral